CCUACGGGAGGCAGCAGUGAGGAAUAUUGGUCAAUGGACGAGAGUCUGAACCAGCCAAGUAGCGUGAAGGAUGACUGCCCUAUGGGUUGUAAACUUCUUUUAUAUGGGAAUAAAAUGUUCCACGUGUGGGAUUUUGUAUGUACCAUAUGAAUAAGGAUCGGCUAACUCCGUGCCAGCAGCCGCGGUAAUACGGAGGAUCCGAGCGUUAUCCGGAUUUAUUGGGUUUAAAGGGAGAGUAGGUGGAUUGUUAAGUCAGUUGUGAAAGUUUGCGGCUCAACCGUAAAAUUGCAGUUGAAACUGGCAGUCUUGAGUACAGUAGAGGUGGGCGGAAUUCGUGGUGUAGCGGUGAAAUGCUUAGAUAUCACGAAGAACUCCGAUUGCGAAGGCAGUUCACUGGACUGCAACUGACACUGAGGCUCGAAAGUGUGGGUAUCAAACAGGAUUAGAUACCCCUGUAGUC
Molecule: ribosomal RNA, 460 nt
Filed under: uncultured bacterium
Lineage: Bacteria
Description: partial 16S ribosomal RNA
Rfam family: Bacterial small subunit ribosomal RNA
Source: RNAcentral